Molecule: small nuclear RNA, 107 nt
Filed under: Cebus imitator (Panamanian white-faced capuchin)
Lineage: Eukaryota; Metazoa; Chordata; Mammalia; Primates; Cebidae
Source: RNAcentral
GUGCUCGCUUCGGCAGCACGUAUACUAAAAUUGGAAGGAUUCAGAGAAGAUUAGCAUGGCCCCUGCACAAGGGUGACACGCAAAUUCGUGAAGCGUUCCAUAUUUAA